Molecule: ribosomal RNA, 423 nt
Filed under: uncultured bacterium
Lineage: Bacteria
Description: bacterial SSU rRNA
Rfam family: Bacterial small subunit ribosomal RNA
Source: RNAcentral
UGAGGAAUAUUGGUCAAUGGCCGAGAGGCUGAACCAGCCAAGCCGCGUGAGGGAUGAAGGUGCUAAGCAUUGUAAACCUCUUUUGUCGGGGAACAAAAGGUCCCUUGCGAGGGAUUGUGAGUGUACCCGAAGAAAAAGCAUCGGCUAACUCCGUGCCAGCAGCCGCGGUAAUACGGAGGAUGCGAGCGUUAUCCGGAUUUAUUGGGUUUAAAGGGUGCGUAGGCGGCGAGUUAAGUCAGCGGUAAAAGCCCGGGGCUCAACCCCGGCGAGCCGUUGAAACUGGCUUGCUCGAGUCGGUGAGAGGUAUGCGGAAUGCGCGGUGUAGCGGUGAAAUGCUUAGAUAUCGCGCAGAACUCCGAUUGCGAAGGCAGCAUACUGGUGCCGUACUGACGCUGAGGCACGAAAGCGUGGGGAUCGAACAGG